Molecule: long non-coding RNA, 1013 nt
Filed under: Bos indicus x Bos taurus (hybrid cattle)
Lineage: Eukaryota; Metazoa; Chordata; Mammalia; Artiodactyla; Bovidae
Description: lncRNA (ENSBIXG00005020941.1)
Source: RNAcentral
AUGCCUGACUUUUAUUUUUCAUUCUUUCCCUUUCACAGAAUCCAGCAUGCAACAAUUGUUUCUGAAACCUUUCCCUGCCAGCUGAAUAGCCUUCUAGACACACAUCAAAGAGUAGCUGAAAAAAAAAAAAAUCUUCACAUAUCGGAUGCUUAUGACAAAACUAUUUUCGUCAACACACUGGACGGAGAGAAAUGGAUACUCACCAUUUCCAAACGGUUAUCUGUGCUGGUUCCUCGUCCCCGGAGGCACGGCAGAGGCGGCGGCCGGGCUGUCUGUCCUGCAGGAUCCACAGACCUGUGUACAACACGUAAAGAGGACAACAAAGCGAGAGGUGCCCGGGUGCUUUUCCUUGCAAACCUGCGAGGAGCCGGUCACUCUUGUCUGACUGCUACAGCAGCUCACAAGAAUUCUCCAGUUGCGUCCCGUGACUUUCCUGCUGACCUCCUGAUUCCCUACUGUGACCUGCAAGACGAACCCUCACCCUACUCCCUACUCCCGUUCUGGCCUGACCCUGACCUCACCUGGAAUCCACCUGCUCGCCCGGCACGGCCUCAUGUCGGCCUUCCCGGCCUUUCAAGCUCUCCUCCAGCUGCGGGGCGAGCUGUCCCCUCUGCCUAGGGUGUCCCCCACCUCUGUCUGCACAGGCGGCUCCUUCACGUCAUCCGUGCUCCUCUUCAAAGGCCACUGCCCACAGAACACUUCCUUCUAGACAGACACUUAUGUAUUGACUUAUCUAAGUUGACGUCUGGUUUUGCUUUCUGUUCGUUGAAUGUAAUACUUUCAGAACAUCUCUCAUUUUACUACACUCUUCUAUUAUAUGUCUCCUCCCACCAGCACAUAGACUCAUACUUUUCUCCCCAUGCUUAGAACACUGUGUUGCAUAAAACAGGCGCGCAUAUAUUUGCUGAAUGAAUGAAUGCAUAAAUAACUAUAAAUAUAGUAAAGUAUAAAAAUAGUUUAUUUGAGGGGAAUCACCUAAGUUUAUCAAUAAAAAAAUUAUUAAAGUCGUUCCA